GCAAACUUGGUCAUUUAGAGGAAGUACAAGUCGUAACAAGGUUUCCGUAGGUGAACCUGCGGAAGGAUCAUUAACGAGUUUUGAAAGGGGUUGCAGCUGGCCAUCCUUGUCGGAGGCAUGUGCUCGCCCUGCUCAAUCCACUCUACACCUGUGAACUUACUGUGGGUCUUGGUGGGCCUUCGUCCUUCCGGGGGCGUCGGCUUUAACCUGGCCUACGUUUUAUUUACAAACACUUUUAAAGUAUCGAGAAUGUCUACUGCGAUAUAACGCAUUUAUAUACAACUUUCAGCAACGGAUCUCUUGGCUCUCGCAUCGAUGAAGAACGCAGC
Molecule: unclassified non-coding RNA, 329 nt
Filed under: uncultured fungus
Lineage: Eukaryota; Fungi
Description: partial contains small subunit ribosomal RNA, internal transcribed spacer 1, and 5.8S ribosomal RNA
Rfam family: Eukaryotic small subunit ribosomal RNA (bases 1-73)
Source: RNAcentral